CUUUAUAAAUUAGGAUGAUUUGAUAUGUUUAAUAUUAGUGGUCUUAAAAAAUAAUAAAUUAAAGAUUUAACCCGUAUUGAAACAGUGGAUUAAUUAUAUUUUACUUUUUUAUUAAUGUUGAUUCAAAAACCCGUCCCUCCAAAUCCGUCUUGCCAAAAAACUAUUUAUUUUAUUAAUAUUAAUUUUAUUUAUGAUAUGACUCUUAAUUAUAAUCUAAACAUUUUAGCUAAUAACAUAGGAGUGCACCAUAUUUAUUUAAUAGGGGAAUGUAUCAUAUGACCCGAAUAUAGUAGUUAAAUAUUAGUUAGUUUAAAUUAGUUAAAGAAUACAAAUUGAAAAUGUAUAUUACACUUUAUUCGAAAAUAGUAUCAAAAUUUAUAUAACACAGAGAUUUGAUAAUUUUUUAAUUGUUGAAUACUUUUUUUUUGUGCUAAUUUUUAUGUGAUUAAGAUUUAAUUGAUUUCGUAUGUAAAAUAUUAAAUUGUUUUACGAACUUAUUUGUUUAUAAUUUGGUAACAGAUAGAUAUUUAAAUAUUCGAUAUAUUUUGCUUCAGUUUAGAAAAUCUUUGAUGACCCGUCUUUAGAUCCAAUAAGCCCUAUAAUUAAGAAAUAAAU
This 615-nucleotide small RNA is filed under the name Arabidopsis thaliana (thale cress). RNAcentral describes it as "ATSL151890". The record is from RNAcentral. Lineage: Eukaryota; Viridiplantae; Streptophyta; Magnoliopsida; Brassicales; Brassicaceae.